AAACAAUUCAAGUAGCAAUAAUAAAACGCAUUAUCAUUUUAUGUUUACACUUAUUGAAGUUUGUACUAUUGAUUAUACAUUUGUUUGAAGUAUUUGAAUAUACAUUUUACACUAAAAAGAAAAAAUAUUAAAUUAAAAAUGGGUAUUAUUAAACGUUUCCGUGCUCAAGUAUUGAUACAAAAAGCUUCGUCUAGAAAAUCGAUUGCGCCUGAAUUUUAUCGAAGAAUAUCACAAACUGCAUCACAAUCGCAGAAAGACAUAAAUAACAAUAUAAAUAACAAGAAAACUGUUAGCAUUGAUAUUAAACAAUCCAAGUCUUCAUCCUAACAAUAAAGAAAUAAGAUAAACUAAUAAAUGAUUUCAUUGGAUUCAAUAUGUCGAAUAAUCUAGACUAUUAGACAUAAAAUCUUCUGCAUGAUGUAGAUAAAUUAAAUUACUAUAUAUGUAUAAUCUCUACAGAUAUGAAUCACAUAUGAUAUUAUAUGAAUUAUUAUUAAUAUAUUGUUGUUGAUUAACAACUGUAAUAUGUAUUUUAAUUUAUACUAUAAAAAUCGUGUCAUAACAUAAAACUGCAAUAAAAUAUAUUUUACUUACCUAGCAAGUUUUGCAAGAGGAAAGUGAAUGCACAACUUUUGAUAGAAUUCACAAAAUUCCUUAUAUGAUCGGAAUAAAUAAGUAGGAUCUGCAUGACCUUUUCGUUGUAUACGCAAGAUAUACAUAUAAUAUUUUUCAGGAUCAUAUCGUUUUUGGUAGCCGUGCACUUGAACACUUGUUAACUGACCUUCCUGCUGCAUUCUACAGUGAACAUAUAGACAUUUUUUAAAUAUUCAAUGUGCUUUAAGAAAUAUAAUUUUAAAUUUUUAAUUUACAUUUAAGAGCAAAUAUUAAAAAGUAUAUUAACAAACUUACGUAUAUGUACGUGGUAUAAAAGAUAAUAAUGCUCCAUCAUUAUGGUCGCCCGAAAAUCUAAGUUGUGCUAAAUUAUGUAGAAAAAAGUUGAACUGUGUAAACCAACUUUUAAGUGAACUUUCUAUCAUUCGGGCAAAUGUUGCAGCUGCUUCAGGAUUUGUUUGCUCUGGAAGAAGAGCUUUUUGUACGUAACUAACUGCAUCCACAGUCACACCAGGAAUGCCAGACGAAGUCAUCUGUGAAUUUGUAUAAUUAUUCAUUUUAGAUUUGUUCACAAAUUCUUUGAUUUCAAUGUCACUAAGCUUUUGUUGUAUAACAUGUGAUUUAUAUAAAUCAGUCAUGUUAUUUUUUUGAAACAAUAAAUCAUCCAUUUUUAACA
This is a long non-coding RNA of Bombus impatiens (common eastern bumble bee), 1288 nucleotides long. RefSeq lists it as uncharacterized. The transcript is spliced from 2 exons. The record is from RefSeq and is a predicted model, not a curated record. NCBI's taxonomy places the organism in Eukaryota, Metazoa, Arthropoda, Insecta, Hymenoptera, Apidae.